GAAACAAAUAAAAGAUCUAGGUGUGCUUGUGCUUCCUCUUUUGCCCCCUGCGUUUCUGGAUUGCUGGAACCCUGGUUUUAUGGUACAUGAAAGCUUUUUGCUGGGAUGAUGAGGACAUUCCAAAACCAUUGUGGUUACGUGCUCAGAGCCCUGAGGACACUGAAAGUCACCAAACAGCAAACUCUAAGUGGGAGGCAAUAUGUCACAUGGAGGAAAGAAUUCAGAUGUAAGCCCUGUGAAGUGGUGUGGAGAGGCACAAUUCAAUGAUAUUCCAUUCUUGGAUAGGACUUUCCACACUUCAUCUAUCCACUCGUCUUGAAGGACAUUUUGAUUGCUUCCAGUUUGGAGCAACUGAGAAUAAAGCUAUUGUAAACAUU
Molecule: long non-coding RNA, 377 nt
Organism: Myodes glareolus (Bank vole)
Lineage: Eukaryota; Metazoa; Chordata; Mammalia; Rodentia; Cricetidae
Source: RefSeq, a predicted model, not a curated record